Molecule: ribosomal RNA, 497 nt
Filed under: uncultured bacterium
Lineage: Bacteria
Description: partial 16S ribosomal RNA
Rfam family: Bacterial small subunit ribosomal RNA
Source: RNAcentral
GAUGAACGCUGGCGGCGUGCCUAAUACAUGCAAGUCGAGCGAACAGAUGAGGAGCUUGCUCCUCUGACGUUAGCGGCGGACGGGUGAGUAGCACGUGGAUAACCUACCUAUAAGACUGGGAUAACUUCGGGAAACCGGAGCUAAUACCGGAUAAUAUAUUGAACCGCAUGGUUCAAUAGUCAAAGACGGUUUUGCUGUCACUUAUAGAUGGAUCCGCGCCGCAUUAGCUAGUUGGUAAGGUAACGGCUUACCAAGGCAACGAUGCGUAGCCGACCUGAGAGGGUGAUCGGCCACACUGGAACUGAGACACGGUCCAGACUCCUACGGGAGGCAGCAGUAGGGAAUCUUCCGCAAUGGGCGAAAGCCUGACGGAGCAACGCCGCGUGAGUGAUGAAGGUCUUCGGAUCGUAAAACUCUGUUAUUAGGGAAGAACAAAUGUGUAAGUAACUAUGCACGUCUUGACGGUACCUAAUCAGAAAGCCACGGCUAACUACGUG